Long non-coding RNA from Brienomyrus brachyistius, 334 nucleotides. RefSeq lists it as uncharacterized. The record is from RefSeq and is a predicted model, not a curated record. The transcript is spliced from 5 exons. Lineage: Eukaryota; Metazoa; Chordata; Actinopteri; Osteoglossiformes; Mormyridae.
GCAACAGGUGUCAUAAGUGAGAUUACAGUGCAGUACGGUGCACAGGAAAGAUCUCAAGACACAGGGAACAGUCAGAGAUGGCAAAACAAAAGCUGUCAUUAAUCAUCAUCUUGGUGGUAAUAUGCAACAUUUUGCGAACUGAGGCAUUCAUGGAAAGCCCAGAUUAUCUUUCUUCGGCAACAAACUUGGAUGUCAGCAUUCCAACAGAAGAAUUCAGACAAGCUAUUGAAAUUGAAGUGGACUAUGACAUUGAUAUUGAGGUGACCGUGUCAGAUAUCGCAGUGAUAAAUGAUCUGAAGAACCUUCUUGCAACAACACCAUUCCCAUAUCCACU